Molecule: long non-coding RNA, 1135 nt
Organism: Daphnia magna
Lineage: Eukaryota; Metazoa; Arthropoda; Branchiopoda; Diplostraca; Daphniidae
Exons: 3
Source: RefSeq, a predicted model, not a curated record
UAUUACGUUAUUGUGAAACAAUUUAUCUCAAAAUUCUGUAAAGGCAAUUGGCAAAUUAUCUAGCUCAUAAAAUCUUGCAAUUUGAUCUAGGAGAACGUAUGCACUCCAGCAAAUGCGUACGGCGGUGCAGUGGGCGUAUUGUGUCGAGUGAUAUCCAGAUGGUCGGCAUUGGUUUCUAAUUUGACGUACUGAAGCCGUCUGGAACAAGAGUGCUAAGAGCCAAGCCAUGGGGAAGAAAAUUCAUUCUCUCUGUUCACAUGACCAGUGUAACAGCCAAAAUAACAAGGGCUUUGUUGUUGUUGCUUAGACGUUUUGAUGUUCGAAUUUUGAUAAGGAUGUAGAUCCUGCCAAUACGGAAGUUCAGCCAAUGUUGUAGCACGACAAGUUGAUGCCCUAGUUACGUCGUGCGGUUCGGGUUAGUUUCACCGAGAUGAGGAAAAGUGACAACAUAACAUCGGUGGCAUUCCCUUCGGACACCGAGUGAUCCCAAGGCAUCAGGUACAUCCAGGAUAUCUGCAAGUACAAUUUAAAAAUUUAUUCUGUUAACCCCUAACGAUCAAUCCAGGACUUGGUUUUCUUGUCUAGUCGUCUAAGGCGGUCUAAGGGUCUAAACGUUACAAUCAGGUUGCAAAAAAUAUUGCAGAGAUAAAUUACUUGCUUUAAAAACAAUAUUUAGUAGCAAAGCUGGGUGCAUAAAACAUGCAUUUUAAUCUAGACAAAUGAGAAUACGAAUUCAUUACUUGGGAAACUGCUACGAAUUGUGAUUAUUCCCCUCGCGCUAUCGGGAGUGCGUGGAACAUCAUUCAGAGAACUACGCUAGUGCCUGAUGACAUCCAUAGGGCUUGUACCAUUUGCCUCGGAAGGUGUAUAAAUGCCUGGUAGUAUUCCAAUGUUUGCUAUCACUUACCGAGUUGAGCUCAGCAACAGCAGAACAGCAAGAAAUCAAUCUUUUCUUUAGAAUGAAACAGCAGACGUAAUUUAACUUUCUUAUUUGAUGUGAAUUGGAAAUAUACUGUAAUUUUCAGUAAUUGCAUGUUGUUCUCUCUUACAGGUUCGCUGUAAUUGUCUUGGUAGUAUUGUGUUCAGUUCAACCUUAGCUUAAAGAAACUGGUGAUGAUAGUUUUGCUCCUCUAAC